This 862-nucleotide ribosomal RNA is filed under the name uncultured bacterium. RNAcentral's name for it is "bacterial SSU rRNA". It matches the Rfam family "Bacterial small subunit ribosomal RNA", at positions 532 to 1397 of the family's 1533-position model. The record is from RNAcentral.
AUCCAAGCGUUAUCCGGAUUUACUGGGUUUAAAGGGUGCGUAGGCGGGCGCUUAAGUCAGCGGUGAAAGGCAGCGGCUCAACCGUUGAAUAGCCGUUGAAACUGGGCGCCUUGGAUUCGGUCGAGGCCGGCGGAAUGCGUGGUGUAGCGGUGAAAUGCUUAGAUAUCACGCGGAACGCCGAUUGCGAAGGCAGCUGGCCAGACCGAGAUCGACGCUGAGGCACGAAAGCGUGGGGAUCAAACAGGAUUAGAUACCCUGGUAGUCCACGCCGUAAACGAUGAUCACUGGAUGCCGGCGAUACACCGUCGGUGUCUGAGCGAAAGCAUUAAGUGAUCCACCUGGGGAGUACGAUCGCAAGGUUGAAACUCAAAGGAAUUGACGGGGGCCCGCACAAGCGGAGGAACAUGUGGUUUAAUUCGAUGAUACGCGAGGAACCUUACCUGGGCUAGAACGCCGAGCGCAUAUGGGGGAAACCCCAUAGCCAGCAAUGGCGGUCGGCGAGGUGCUGCAUGGUUGUCGUCAGCUCGUGCCGUGAGGUGUCGGGUUAAGUCCCAUAACGAGCGCAACCCCUACUGUUAGUUGCCAGCGGAUCAUGCCGGGGACUCUAACGGAACUGCCAGCGUAAGCUGUGAGGAAGGUGGGGAUGACGUCAAAUCAGCACGGCCCUUACGUCCAGGGCUACACACGUGUUACAAUGGCCGGUACAGAGGGCAGCCACCCCGCGAGGGGGCGCGAAUCCUCAAAGCCGGUCCCAGUUCGGAUCGGAGUCUGCAACCCGACUCCGUGAAGCUGGAUUCGCUAGUAAUCGCGCAUCAGCCACGGCGCGGUGAAUACGUUCCCGGGCCUUGCACACACCGCCCGU